Molecule: ribosomal RNA, 503 nt
Filed under: uncultured bacterium
Lineage: Bacteria
Description: partial 16S ribosomal RNA
Rfam family: Bacterial small subunit ribosomal RNA
Source: RNAcentral
AUUGAACGCUGGCGGCAGGCUUAACACAUGCAAGUCGAGCGGGGUGAUGGUGCUUGCACUAUCACUUAGCGGCGGACGGGUGAGUAAUGCUUAGGAAUCUGCCUAUUAGUGGGGGACAACAUCUCGAAAGGGAUGCUAAUACCGCAUACGUCCUACGAGAGAAAGCAGGGGAUCACUUGUGACCUUGCGCUACUAGAUGAGCCUAAGUCGGAUUAGCUAGUUGGUGGGGUAAAGGCCUACCAAGGCGACGAUCUGUAGCGGGUCUGAGAGGAUGAUCCGCCACACUGGGACUGAGACACGGCCCAGACUCCUACGGGAGGCAGCAGUGGGGAAUAUUGGACAAUGGGGGGAACCCUGAUCCAGCCAUGCCGCGUGUGUGAAGAAGGCCUUAUGGUUGUAAAGCACUUUAAGCGAGGAGGAGGCUCUUUUGGUUAAUACCCAAGAUGAGUGGACGUUACUCGCAGAAUAAGCACCGGCUAACUCUGUGCCAGCCGCCGCCGUAC